Gasterosteus aculeatus (three-spined stickleback) is the source of this 5764-nucleotide long non-coding RNA. Lineage: Eukaryota; Metazoa; Chordata; Actinopteri; Perciformes; Gasterosteidae. The record is from Ensembl.
GAGGCAAGAUUUCAGAAUCAGUUAGACAGACACGUUAGUCGAUAACAAAAUUGAUCCUUUUAAUUGAUGACGUAGGGGAAAGGGGCUAUGGGGUCGAAAAACAACAAAAGAUUCCUGCCGGUUGGGGUCUCAGGUCCUCAACGACUCGUCCUGGAGAAAACCAGAGGCGGGGCGUGAAGGGGCAGUAAUGCUUCCGGGUUGUCGGACUUCUCCCACGCCGACCCUCUAAAUCCAUGUCACUCUUGAUUGGGUUGAUGGGAUGCAGCUGUGCCCAAUGCCUGUUGCCAACUGGUUGCAGCCCACGCACCAUCACCUCCUCCAACCCGAUCCACCGUCUUGGCUUGGCCCCUCCCCCUGGUUUGCCACACAUGAUGUUCGUUUUAGUAAAUCCUGGUCACCUUUAGAGUAGAAGAGAGAAAGUACCUUCCGGAUGUCACGGGCGACGGGCUGGUCAGCCAGAUCAACAACCCCGAGGUGGAGGUGGACAUCGCCCGGCCGGAUGUGAGGACCAGACAGCUGAUCAUGGAGCUGAGGGUGGCGACCAACAAGCUGAGACACGCUCAGAGUGGACAGGACAUGGACUUCAUGGACAGCGAGGAGGGCAGUGGCUCCGGAGGAGGAGAUCAGGGUGAACGGUACAAUGACGAUUGGCCCGGCUACGGGCCUUAUUCCCCCCCCUACAACAAACCCCCCCGCAACCCCGCAUCUGACCCCGCGAAGCCGCCACGAGUCCGAGAGAGAAACGGGUCCAAGUUGAACAGAAACCACGGACGCGAGCGGUCCGCAGCCAGCCAGCCGUCCUGCUGCCUGCUUCCUCUGCUGUCGUUGCCUUUCAUGGCCACCGUGGCCCCCAUGUGGAGAUAGCUGGUCAUUACAGCCUGCGCAGUCAUUCCAUUCGGUUACACCAGCAGACAAAACCAAGCCAAAUCAGCAAUAAUUAAAAACCACAGCACAAAAUAAAUUGAUAUUUAUCUUACUGCCCAGGUCACAAAAUACAAGCACAACAAUGAAACUUAACACUGCCGUUCUUCGUUUGAGCAUUGGUGCUGAAUGGUGUGCAGGGCAGAGGAGAAACAAGAAGCGUUAAAAGGCAAAUGAAUUGGGAGGAUGUUUGGCUGAUGAAGCUCUUGUUCCGGUGGUUUAAUCCUCCGUGAGAUGGAGGUUAUUUGUGCCGGUUCAUAGCAGUUUUGUUUAAGUGAGCAGCUGAUUUGAUCCGUGAUUAAUAUUCUUAGCGGCUCUUGAUUUCACUCGAGUUAUGUUUCAUCUUUUAUCAUGUGGAAGUAAAGCAAUUUAAUUCACUAUCUUAAUUUAACCUCCAUAUUUUUGCUUGGAGAUGAAAAGAAGUCAACAGUGUGAUUCUUGAAACCAAACAAGUGGCUUACUUUGAAUGUACCUAGUUUGCUUUUACUUGUGUCAACAAGUGGUUAAUUCAUGUAAUAUAUUGGUGUUCUUAAUUUAUUUGUAAUAUAAUCCUCGUUCUUAUGCUCAUUCAUUUAAAAGCACCAUCUGUUUUUAACUUUCUCUGAAAAAAAAAAGGGAAAAAUCAAGUUGUGUUGAUUUAUCCUUUUUGUAAACCGAUCAUUUGAAAGUGUAAUUGAACCAAACGUAACGCAACUCUUAAUUAUCAAACCUUAUUGUGGCACGACAGCAGAUCCUUACAGAGCAGUUUGUGUGAAUGUGUGUUUGUUUGAUGCUUUUAUAUAUUUGUCGUUUUCAUGGUUCUGAUUUUUUAUACGGGCUUUUCUACUCGUUUUUCCUAAAAGCAAACAAAGAUGGGCAGUGUGGGGCUCAUGAUGGGAAUUGAAGGUGAAUGUUGUCGGAAGCCGAGAGACGACGGCUCGGAUUCUUACAGAACGAGUUGCAAUGAAGAUAAAAAUCAAAGAAUAUUCAAGAAGAAGGCCGGCAGGAGAGGGAACUAAAACACACUUUAGUGAGACAUUUCGGGAGAGUUGAAUUCGUGACUUAACGGUGAAUCCAGCACACUGCUAACUUAGCUUAGCAUAAAGACGGUUCGUUUCAGAAAUAUGCUAAGCUAUUCAGCCGCUAGCUCCAGCUCCGGCCUACAAAGUAAUUAAAUAAGCCUGUUUCAAAUAAUGUUGAGCUACUUUGUGCGAUGAUGAAAGUCAGGCGACGGAUCUCACAGACGGAAGCAGCAAUAAGGAGGCAGAUUAUAAAAAGAAGCUUGAAUGAGAAACGGUGAAAUUCACUUCUAGUUGCGCCUUUUGCAAAAAUACCAGGAGAAAAUAUACGCUUUAGACUUUUAAUCCCCAGCAAUCCAAGUUAAUUUUCAUUUUGGAACGAAACCCUUGACCGUCAGUCGGGACUUUGUACAAACUGCACAACGACGAAUGAAAGACAGUAUUUUAAAAGCAGGAGAAUCACGAGUUUUUAGCACAAUCAUCCGCACAGUCGUUCAUGGUGAAAGUAAAGCACAACACUUUUCAUGUUGUAACAGUUUUUUGCUUUCAAGCAAGUGAUAUUUGUUUUGCUUCAUUAAAAAAUAACUCAAACGUAUACUGAUGUGUCUCUUUUUGUGUUACAGCAAAAUUUCAACGAAAAUAGGAAAAAAGGCAGUUCACAUUUGAGUGUGUCUCCCCGUUUGUCGUGUUAGUUACAUCAACACAAAUGAUUUAAAAGGGUUUGUCCCAGGCUGAUAUUCCCCGGAGAGUUUGUCAAACUGAGACAAGCGUCCACAACAAAGUCCACGUCGUCCAAAGAGCAUUUUCAUCACUGGUGUCCCUCAGAGCUGAUUUAUUCUUCUACACGUGACACAUGCAGAACCAUCACUGCAGUUCUGUCCAAACCCAGCAGAGAGCAGCAAGCCUCCACACACUACCACCCUUUCUUUCUCCAGUAACACUUCUGGUAAUCAUUGUUUACCCACGUUUUGUAUUUCCUCCUAUUUCCAAGGAAAAAGUCUGUCCUCAACUGGUUGGAGCCGCUUUGCUGGUCGUGGAUCACAGCGAAUACACAACGUGGUGACGGGUGAAGCUCUGAAGCCCACUGACCCAUAACUGACCCAUAACUGACCCAUAACUGACCCACAACUGGUGAACCCACUGACUUGUGUUUAGCAACAACCAGCUGGGAUUCACACCUGAGAUUUACCUUGAAAAAGGAGAUUAUUCUUCCAUCAUGCAACACGACCUGUUUAAAGACUUUAGGUGGAGAUGAACACUUUUUCCAUAUUCCAUAUUUAUAUUUUUGUCAGCUCAGAUUAGAACCUGUUUACCUGAAAGCAGUGAGCCCAGAUUGCAGUAUUCUACCGUGAAUUAAAAGGCGUGUGGUUUGAGUGAUGGAUGAUCAAAGAAUGAUUCCACAGCAACCACAUUAUAGUGAAUCAGCUGUCGUUUGGGGAAGAAACAGCAAUUCAUCCGUGUACUUUAGAUCACUUUAUUAUUGACUUUACUUACUUUCCUUUUCCAUGAAAUGUGAGAAUAAAGCGACUUUAUUAACUAAAUGCAUUUUAUCCUGCAUAUGAGUCAGACGCUUCACAGGGAAUGUCUCUGCAGUGAAGAAAACCAAACAUUCAAAUCAAUCAAUUAAUCAAGGAAUGCAUUAAAACAAACAAAUACUUCAAAGUACUUCAUGUACUGAAAGCAGAUACCGAUUAUUGUGUUUGUUAACAGCAGAUAAGGCCGAUUAGUUGGUCGGGCCUUCAGAUGUGCAGCUUCCAAUUACAGCAGCCGUUAUUACUACAAUUGACCAUAAAGCAGCGUUGCAAGAAGCAGUUGUUGUAGUUUGAUGGAAUCAAACUAAACAAUGAACGUGUUUAGUUUGGAGAGAAAACUCUCAGGUGAGUCGCUGGGCUUAAAUUCAUGACACACAUGCAAACAGCGGCCGCAGAGUUUCCACUGCAGUAGUCGGGGGAUGUGGUUUUCUUCUUCUUCAGAUGCAGAAUUAGCUCUUUCGGUCGUGCAGGCGCACGCCGGGUGGUUCUGUGCUUCCUUUUGGGUCUCAACAAACGACUACGUAAAAAAAAUAGCUGUGAAUAUAGCUUCGCCUUUUCCUCCACUCUGAUAAAUGUUACAUUUAAACCUCGUAUUCAUUUCAGCAACUAUUAAAUGAUUUUCUGAGCACGAUGAUGUAUGUUUGUGUUGUUUUAGAUAUUCAACGUUUGAUGUUUGAGUCUGGUUGUGUCUACAGCACUUAUAUAAAAUAAGUCCUUUUUUUAUCCCUUUGAGGGUACACAGAGCAUGUGACCUUUGACCUGAAAAUAAAAGAUGGAAGGAAGCAGCAUAUGAACAUAACCAAUUCCUGGUAGUUUAGUAUUUUUACAUAGUAUCUCACAGACAAUAAGUAAUCUGUAGAUGUGUAAACAUGAACAGAUCUAAAAGUAUAUGAUACAUAAAAGGACUGAUGGAAAAAUGUUCCCCAAAUUUCCACAUUUUAUAACAACUCAAUGAAACACAAGCUAUUCAUACGGGAUCACUACAGCACAUUUACAUUGCACCUCUCCUCGCUAAUGUGUGUCUUUCUCUGCACUCUCCCUCGUUGAGUUUGCCUCCAAGUCUCCCUCAUCCACUGAACACCUUCAGAAACCUCUUUUUGAAGACCUCCCCUCCAUCUUCUUCAACUGCCUCCCCUCGGUCACUGAGGUGCAGUGCUGUGCGUGCUGGUAAGCCCAGCAGCGGCCUGCUUGUCAAUGGCAAACACACACUCUUUAUCUUUACUUUCUGGCUUUUUCUGUCCUACUACAGUCAGUAUCUGGUUAUUUGGGCCAUACAGUCUUUUUGAGGUGUGAAGUAGGUGCAUGUCAUUGCAGUCACUGCUGCUCCUGUGUCUAGUUUAAAAGAAACAACUUUAGUACUGUGAUGGAAGCUUUGCACAGACAAUUGUAAAAUAGGAAUAAAGGCUCUGAAUCAAAUAUGUCUUUCUUCGUUUAUUUUCUUGCAAAGAAAAGACGUCACAAGAGCUACGUGCUCCACAACAGGACAAGGCCGCUCUUGUGCUUCGGUUCACUCACAGAUGGAACAGCACCGUCUGCCGUCGCCUCACUCGCCCACAUUACAUCCCUCAUGUUCCAGCACCACUGUGUUAUGCGCAGAGUCAAUUUUGAAUCCAACUGAAGCUUCUCGGAAAGUUUGAUGUCUCUUAUGGCCACUACACGAUCACGAGUCAGUUCCUCUCUGAGGGCUCUAAAGUAACAAAGCACUGAGCCGCCCAGCAGCACUGACGCAUGUAAAAUACCCUCUGCCUCGUCUCCCAUGGAAUAUAUCAAAUUGUUCACCUGGAAUGCCUCAUCCUUUUCUAUCCAAUCCAGACACUGUUCUGUACCUUUCGAGUCGCCGAAUCCAUUUGGGCCAAUUUUGGACGUCUCUGCAGUCAAACUUCUGUGGGGGGGCUAAUCCGAAACGCUCCCCCGGUGUGAGCUGCAGGGGAAAGUCCAGCACGUUGUCCCUCUUCUUACAUCUUACUCCAUCCGAUGCGUUGAUUUACGUCCAAAUCUGUGGUUUUCUUGAAGUCCCGGGUUCUUUAUUCUGUCAACUAUACGUUCCUGUCGAAGGCUGAGUUAGUUUUAACAAUAAACCCUUCUGACAUCAUGUGGCGUUUGCCAUUACAAAUGAUGACGGACAGCGGCAUGUCUUUAGCCUGCCGGCAUAUUUACUGAACUUCACCUUGAUGACAACACACAGAAACAUUUAUACAGCUCCGGGUACGGGACGUCCCGAGGGUCAGACUACAGAUCCGAUGUUAGACUGUGGAUCCGACCCCUGAGCCCUGACACCUGCGUAGAUACUUUCACCCUCCUCUGUGGUGGAAU